Molecule: non-coding RNA, 142 nt
Filed under: Lyngbya confervoides
Lineage: Bacteria; Bacillati; Cyanobacteriota; Cyanophyceae; Oscillatoriales; Microcoleaceae
Also listed under: 1 other name
Source: RNAcentral
AUGUUCUAUUACCUCAUCGGUUCUAGCGGGGAGCAGCCGCUAGAGGAAACGGGAAAAGUGUAGUGAAAAUUUGCCGCUGUCCCGCAGCUGUGAAAGGGAAAUUUCCCUCAGUCAGAAUGCCCGCCGAUGAGCUGCGAGUUCU